AAUUUUGGACAAUGGGGGCAACCCUGAUCCAGCCAUCCCGCGUGUGCGAUGAAGGCCUGCGGGUUGUAAAGCACUUUUGGCAGGGAAGAAAAGGCUCUGGCUAAUAACUGUCUCUGCUGACGGUACGUGCAGACUAAGCACCGACUAACUACGUGCCUGCAGCCGCGGUAAUACGUAGGGUGCAAGCGUUAAUCGGAAUUACUGGGCGUACAGCGUGCGCAGGCGGUUCGGCAAGAAGGAUGUGAAAUCACAGGGCUUAACCUUGGAACUGCAUUCUUAACUGCCGAGCUAGAGUAUGUCAGAGGGGGGUAGAAUUCCGCGUGUAGCAGUGAAAUGCGUAGAGAUGCGGAGGAAUACCGAUGGCGAAGGCAGCCCCCUGGGAUAAUACUGACGCUCAUGCACGAAAGCGUGGGGAGCAAAC
RNAcentral lists this ribosomal RNA (421 nucleotides) under uncultured bacterium. Its description in RNAcentral is "partial 16S ribosomal RNA". It matches the Rfam family "Bacterial small subunit ribosomal RNA", at positions 360 to 773 of the family's 1533-position model. The record is from RNAcentral.